This 482-nucleotide ribosomal RNA is filed under the name uncultured bacterium. Its description in RNAcentral is "partial 16S ribosomal RNA". It matches the Rfam family "Bacterial small subunit ribosomal RNA", at positions 29 to 507 of the family's 1533-position model. The record is from RNAcentral.
ACGCACGCUGGCGGCGUGCUUAACACAUGCAAGUCGAACGCUGAAGCUCAGCUUUUGUUGGGUGGAUGAGUGGCGAACGGGUGAGUAACACGUGAGUAACCUGCCUCCUUCUUUGGGAUAACGCCCGGAAACGGGUGCUAAUACUGGAUAUUCACUGGUCUUCGCAUGGGGGUUGGUGGAAAGGGUUUUUCUGGUGGGGGAUGGGCUCGCGGCCUAUCAGCUUGUUGGUGGGGUGAUGGCCUACCAAGGCUUUGACGGGUAGCCGGCCUGAGAGGGUGACCGGUCACAUUGGGACUGAGAUACGGCCCAGACUCCGACGGGAGGCAGCAGUGGGGAAUAUUGCACAAUGGGCGCAAGCCUGAUGCAGCGACGCCGCGUGAGGGAUGGAGGCCUUCGGGUUGUGAACCUCUUUCGCUCAUGGUCAAGCCGCAACAAUGGUUGUGGUGAGGGUAGUGGGUAAAGAAGCGCCGGCUAACUACGUG